GUGACGGCUACACAUCACUGGGUAACACAUUUGCCUAAUGCCCGCCUAUGGUAUUCAUUGGCUGCCCGCAAACAACGUCAACUUUGAGCCGCCCUCAAACGUUGUAGCUGGUUCAUGUUGUAUACAUGUCGAGAAGAUGCUGUUUUCUGCUCUGCAAAAGCAAAUUCUCUUUGUAAACACUUCCAAAGGAUGAGGAUAUGAAGAGUCAGUGAUUAAAAUUACCACAGUCAUACAACAGCAGAAUAACAUUUUCACGAUUGCUUCUCAAAUCUCCAUGAGUUAUAAAUGGGAUUUACAAAAUGCUUAUCUAUUAAAGAUGGGACAGUACCGACUUUAUUUGGACCAAACUUGCUCCUAAGAAUCACAGCCUACUCGUGGUCGGAUUGAUAUGGUAAAAUCGAUGCCAUCGCUACUGUCUUUACGGCGCUGUAAGCGGCAGACCAGAAUGAGAAUGAGCCAUCUGGCCAAUCAGAGCAGAGCAGGCUCGCGGAAAGGAGAAAUUUAGAGAGACUGAAGCAUCAGAUGAGUUGUUUAAGAAUCACUGACAAAUGUGGUGAUGUGCAAUGCAUAUUAUGAGAAAAUGAAAGCAUUUUUGACCUUUGAUGCAUGUAAACAUGUUAUAGGAGAGCUCCAAAACAAAAUUAAGAACCUUUAAAAUAGCAUAAUAGGGGCACUUUAAUUCCCGUGGUGGGAAAAAAAAUAAAUUAAAAAUACUGAAUUAAUGUGUGUUUAUGCUGUUGUCACUUGAAGUUGAAGUGUCUCAAGUAAUUAAUUGAGAAAACUGUUUUGUUUCACAUUAUGUUAUUCUGUUGAAGACUAUAGUGCUGUUUGUUUACUGCUGUUGUGUUUCCCCCCCCUGUGGUUAUUAUUUCAACACAGCUGUGUUUUCUCAAUAAAGAGAUUCCAUCUUGCACUAAUUGUUUUAGCUUUAAUGGAUAAGGAGCAAAAAAAAAAAAAACUUUUAUAUAUCCACAUAUCUAAACACCACACAUAUGCCUAUCAUUUUCCAGACCUCUUUGUAGAGUUGCCUUCAUUUUUCUCAGCAUGAACAGAUGAACUCAGUGGAUGCGAGUCCUUGUUUCGGAAUACCGAACCGAGCACACAGGACUAAUCUGUCCUCGCCUCAUUUUCUCCCUAAUGAGAUGAAGAUCAAAGAUGAUAGAGGUUCCAAAACAAACAGCUGGCUCUAUAUCAACACAGAACCCAAUCAAUUUCCACACAUCCUGGGCCUAAAAUGAAAACACUCAGAUAAGCGAUUUAUAAUAAAGAGAAUCAUAAUUAGGAAAGGGGCUUCGCAAAUUCGGUGUGAACUUAGCUUG
Molecule: long non-coding RNA, 1319 nt
Organism: Megalobrama amblycephala (Wuchang bream)
Lineage: Eukaryota; Metazoa; Chordata; Actinopteri; Cypriniformes; Xenocyprididae
Exons: 3
Source: RefSeq, a predicted model, not a curated record